This 724-nucleotide long non-coding RNA is filed under the name Macaca nemestrina (pig-tailed macaque). RNAcentral describes it as "lncRNA (ENSMNEG00000045575.1)". Lineage: Eukaryota; Metazoa; Chordata; Mammalia; Primates; Cercopithecidae. The record is from RNAcentral.
AUCUUCCAGUCUCUCCUCUCUGAGUCCUUUCCUUCAGCUGUUGCACCAUUUCUACUUUGUUCAGAGGGAUAAUGCUGGAAAGUAUAGGAUGUCAAGUUCACUCUGCUUUUAUUUUUUAUUCCUUUUGGCAGACAGUUGGCAGCUGUGUGAAGAUGGGAAUGGAGGAGGCAGGGUAGGCAGUGGGUGACGCAGCCACAGCUUGGGUUCUCUGCAGCCCUGGCACAGAAGAUAGGAACACCCAUGGGGGAUGCAGCCACCAUGAUGUCUUCCCACACAAGGAGUGCCAAGUGCUUUUCUCACGCUUUUCUGGAUUGUUCCAUGGUGGAUGAGUCAGCAGGAGUGAGAUGGAGCCGCAGAGUGGAGGGGUAUCUGGUUCCUUAGAUCCUGGGAUGAGGAGGUUGACCAGAAGGUGGGCUUGGGAAGGUAGCCUGGGGUGCAAAUCCUCUUGGCUCUUCAGCUUGGCAGGAUGUCACCCUCAGUGUCUGAAAGCUGGGUUUGAUGCGUCUGGAAAAGCGUCCCUCACAGGCGUCGUUGCUGGGAGCCCCUGGUGCCGCCAGCAGCUAGCAGGGAGCAUGUCCUCUGCCCGCUCACUUCUGACCCUUCUCUCGCUGCACGGAUGAGGACCUUAGGACAGAAUGGCUCUAAACCCGCUCCUGUCCACGGUGUGAGCAUUUCCUGAUGUGAAAGCUUCAACCGCAGUCUCAACAUUGAGCUCUUCCAAGGC